CUCACGCCUGGGAUGCCACGGCGGGGACACGGGAUUGAGCGCUGCAGGAACCUCCCUCUUUCCAUCCACGCUGACGGGGAUGGAAAACUUUCCCGUCAGAGCUGUGCAGCAGGUUUGGUAUCUUGGUGUUCAGAGUGCUAUGGGGAGUAAAUCUGCUGAGUGGGAAGCAGUCCUAGCCCAAAGAUUGUGCAACCAGAAGGAGAGACUGCAAGAGGAGACUAAGAGGAGACCAAGAUGGGGAAACAAACGUGUGGAAAGGUCUGCUGACACGUGGCUUCAAAUCCUCUGGCAGAACACAGCCUUUGCCCAUCUCUGCUGCAUUCCCUGGGUCGCUCUCCUCCCCUGUUGCUCCUCCAGGUGAGGCAGGCUCCCUCCAGCCCCUCCCCACUGCAGAAGUGCCUGUCUCCAAAGCAUGCUCUAGGUCCUCCCCACCUGUUGGUGGCUGAAAUGAGGGUGAGCCCUGCAGGGUCUCACUCUGCUUUUGUCGGGCAGAGAGGCAGCACCCGCUGACCAGGCAGCCUGUGUUUGGUCUGUGCCUGCCAUGAGGAGGCCUGGUGAGCACUGGUGUCACUGGCAGACGCAGAAUAAUUGGUUGUACUGAUUAAUUCUGGGCCUAUUGGGGGUCACAUAUUAACAAUAAACUGGAAAUGCCAACUA
Molecule: long non-coding RNA, 657 nt
Organism: Vidua chalybeata
Lineage: Eukaryota; Metazoa; Chordata; Aves; Passeriformes; Viduidae
Exons: 3
Source: RefSeq, a predicted model, not a curated record